Long non-coding RNA from Dermochelys coriacea (leatherback sea turtle), 1082 nucleotides. RefSeq lists it as uncharacterized. The record is from RefSeq and is a predicted model, not a curated record. The transcript has 3 exons. NCBI's taxonomy places the organism in Eukaryota, Metazoa, Chordata, Testudines, Dermochelyidae.
CAAAUAUCAGAGGUGAUACGAAUGUCAGUUUAUAUGUAAAAUUGCUACACUUCAGACCCCUGUCAAACUGGCAACAAAGCUCUCGGUGUGACAAGGUCUGGGCAACUGGCUUAAAAAUCAUGAGCUUUUGAAAACAAUAAAUGUGGGGUUCUUUUUAUUUGCUUGCAGCUUGAGCUGUUGGGGUUCAAGUUUUCCUGAUUUUAUUCUCAAUCGCAAAGACUAGAGGCGUACAUUUUCUUUUAAAUAAAUGUGACAUUCUCAUUGUAGCAGGGCAGUCUGUUCUUUUAAGGGCCUGCAGAGCCAGGGAGCAGAAAGCCCUGUCUAAAGAGAAGUCCAGUAGGCAGGUGUUGGGAAUAAGAGGAUCUGGGUAAGCAGCAACUAAUGAUUGCUCUGAUUCCCAGCUGGAAGAUAUAAGUAAAGACCCAAGCUCUAUAGUAGAGAGUAGGGGAGACAGUUGUAGGAGGCUGUAAUGGGAUCUGGCUGGAUCUGUGAGCCUCCUGAGGCUAAAGGAGGUCUAAGACCUUGAGCUACUGGUGGAUAGAGGACACUGCAGUAUCAAUCCAGGUUGCCCAUCUCCAGAGGAUAUGGAUAUAGUACAGCCCUCGCUAGACAGCUACACUUAUGUGAUGGCCACCAGCUUGGAUUAGAAGGCAGGGAGGAGGCAUGACCAGAGUAAACACAUACUGCUUAUUCUCAACUGGUGGAUGGUGCUUUGUGGACCAUUACUCCCAGACUGGCUUAAUGUGCACCAUGAGGAGGCCAGGCAGAGAAUCAGAUUGUGAAAUCAAUAAGAGAAUGCUAUAUCUACAGGAAGGGACACAUUGCAGGAGGGUGUCCAAUUUAUGAAUAAAGAUCAAAGGAGUGUUUUGAUAUAUUUGGGAUUGGAAGGAGCCUGACAGUAUCCUUUACUUAGGGGGCAAGCUGGCGAUGUAUUUUGUCUCAUGAAAAAAAGAUCACAGCCACAUCUGGCUGAAAAAUGCCAGAAGGACUUUGGGGUGAGCUUCGCUUCACUAAACAUAAAAAUAUCUAGUAAAAUAGUCUAGGUUCUAGAAUGCAUGUUAUGAUUUUAUUGUAUAUGUAAC